RNAcentral lists this long non-coding RNA (224 nucleotides) under Chinchilla lanigera (long-tailed chinchilla). RNAcentral describes it as "lncRNA (ENSCLAG00000023485.1)". Lineage: Eukaryota; Metazoa; Chordata; Mammalia; Rodentia; Chinchillidae. The record is from RNAcentral.
CGAGGAGAGGCAAGAAAUGUAGACAGGCCGGUGGAAUCUUCGCAAAGUAGCUGAACCAGAUGGCCACUGGCAGAGCUGCCGGAAGGUUGUCAGUGCUGCAGAGGCUGGGAUUGUGAGCUCUGAAGUCUACCUCCACAGUCCUCUGGCUUCCUGGACUAGGGGCAGAUGUCAGAUGGAUUUCCUGAAAGCCCUUGUACCUGUGAAGUUGAAAAUAAACACUGUGC